UACGUAGGGUGCAAGCGUUGUCCGGAAUUAUUGGGCGUAAAGAGCUCGUAGGCGGUCUGUCGCGUCUGCUGUGAAAACUCGGGGGCUUAACCCCGGGCCUGCAGUGGGUACGGGCAGACUAGAGUGCGGUAGGGGAGACUGGAAUUCCUGGUGUAGCGGUGAAAUGCGCAGAUAUCAGGAGGAACACCGGUGGCGAAGGCGGCGAUCUGGGUCGAUACUGACGCUGGAGGUGCGAAAGCCGUGGGGGAGCAAACAGG
This 257-nucleotide ribosomal RNA is filed under the name uncultured bacterium. Its description in RNAcentral is "partial 16S ribosomal RNA". It matches the Rfam family "Bacterial small subunit ribosomal RNA", at positions 524 to 776 of the family's 1533-position model. The record is from RNAcentral.